CCUACGGGUGACUGCAGUGAGGAAUAUUGGUCAAUGGGCGCGAGCCUGAACCAGCCAAGUAGCGUGAAGGAUGACUGCCCUACGGGUUGUAAACUUCUUUUAUAAAGGAAUAAAGUGUGACACGUGUGCCUUUAUGUGUGUACGUUAUGUAUGAGGAUCGGCUAACUACGAGCCAGCAGCCGCGGUAAUACGGAGGAUCCAAGCGUUAUCCGGAUUUAUUGGGUUUAAAGGGAGAGUAGAUGGGUUGUUAAGGCAGUUGUGAACGUUUGCGGCUCAACCGUAAAAUUGCAAUUGAUACUGGAAGUCUUGAGUAAAGGUGAGGCAGGCGGAAUUCGUGGUGUAGCGGUGAAAUGCUGAGAUAUCACGAAGAACUCCGAUUGCGAAGGCAGCUUACUAAACUGCCACUGACAUUGAUGCUCGAAAGUGUGGGUAUCAAACAGGAUUAGAUACCCGGGUAGUC
Molecule: ribosomal RNA, 460 nt
Filed under: uncultured bacterium
Lineage: Bacteria
Description: partial 16S ribosomal RNA
Rfam family: Bacterial small subunit ribosomal RNA
Source: RNAcentral